This 550-nucleotide ribosomal RNA is filed under the name uncultured bacterium. RNAcentral describes it as "bacterial SSU rRNA". It matches the Rfam family "Bacterial small subunit ribosomal RNA", at positions 355 to 896 of the family's 1533-position model. The record is from RNAcentral.
UAGGGAAUCUUCGGCAAUGGACGGAAGUCUGACCGAGCAACGCCGCGUGAGUGAAGAAGGUUUUCGGAUCGUAAAGCUCUGUUGUAAGAGAAGAACGAGUGUGAGAGUGGAAAGUUCACACUGUGACGGUAUCUUACCAGAAAGGGACGGCUAACUACGUGCCAGCAGCCGCGGUAAUACGUAGGUCCCGAGCGUUAUCCGGAUUUAUUGGGCGUAAAGCGAGCGCAGGCGGUUAGAUAAGUCUGAAGUUAAAGGCUGUGGCUUAACCAUAGUACGCUUUGGAAACUGUUUAACUUGAGUGCAGAAGGGGAGAGUGGAAUUCCAUGUGUAGCGGUGAAAUGCGCAGAUAUAUGGAGGAACACCGGUGGCGAAAGCGGCUCUCUGGUCUGUAACUGACGCUGAGGCUCGAAAGCGUGGGGAGCAAACAGGAUUAGAUACCCUGGUAGUCCACGCCGUAAACGAUGAGUGCUAGGUGUUGGGUCCUUUCCGGGACUCAGUGCCGCAGCUAACGCAUUAAGCACUCCGCCUGGGGAGUACGACCGCAAGGUUG